CGAGACAAUAAGGGCCUUGCACACAACAUAAUUACAGGAGCAGUAUUUGCAAGUAUUCUAUACUUUGUAUCCUUUAUAUUCUUAAAAAUCCCUCAGAUGCUGGUAUGGGAAUAAGGCUGGAAGCUUCUGAAUCAGUUUUCUGUGAACACAUGAGAGUGUCACUCCACUGCUAGAUUUUUUACCUCAACCAAAAACAUUGGAGCUGCAAAUGGAUUCAUUUCGUACUUUUCAUUGGCUAGAUAAAUGGAAAAGGCUCAGCUUAGAUUUU
This 268-nucleotide unclassified non-coding RNA is filed under the name Hevea brasiliensis (rubber tree). Lineage: Eukaryota; Viridiplantae; Streptophyta; Magnoliopsida; Malpighiales; Euphorbiaceae. The record is from RNAcentral.